This 365-nucleotide ribosomal RNA is filed under the name uncultured bacterium. Its description in RNAcentral is "bacterial SSU rRNA". It matches the Rfam family "Bacterial small subunit ribosomal RNA", at positions 228 to 616 of the family's 1533-position model. The record is from RNAcentral.
GGCCCUGUUCCCAUCAGCUAGUUGGUAGGGUAAUGGCCUACCAAGGCUCUGACGGGUAGGGGGUGUGAGAGCACGACCCCCCACAAUGGCACUGAGACACGGGCCAUACGACUACGGUCGGCAGCAACUGGGAAUAUUCGGCAAUGGGCGAAAGCCUGACCGAGCGACACCGCGUGAAGGAUGAAGUAUUUCGGUAUGUAAACUUCUUUUGCCAAAGGGUCGACCUUUGGCGAAUAAGCACCUACAAACUACGUGCCAGCAGUCGCGGUAAUACGUAGGGUGCAAGCGUUAUCCGGAUUCACUGGGCGUAAAGAGUCGUGUAGGCGGCUUGCCGCAUCGCACUUGAAAGCCCGAGGCUUAACCUC